Molecule: small RNA, 153 nt
Filed under: Lupinus albus (white lupine)
Lineage: Eukaryota; Viridiplantae; Streptophyta; Magnoliopsida; Fabales; Fabaceae
Source: RNAcentral
AGGUGCGAUCAUACCAGCACUAAUGCACCGGAUCCCAUCAGAACUCCGCAGUUAAGCGUGCUUGGGCGAGAGUAGUACUAGGAUGGGUGACCUCCUGGGAAGUCCUCAGUGUUGCACCUCUUUUUUCCACGGGAGGUAGCAUUAACGGACUCG